This 855-nucleotide ribosomal RNA is filed under the name Escherichia coli. RNAcentral describes it as "partial 23S ribosomal RNA". It matches the Rfam family "Bacterial large subunit ribosomal RNA", at positions 1920 to 2774 of the family's 2925-position model. The record is from RNAcentral. Lineage: Bacteria; Pseudomonadati; Pseudomonadota; Gammaproteobacteria; Enterobacterales; Enterobacteriaceae.
CCGGUAAACGGCGGCCGUAACUAUAACGGUCCUAAGGUAGCGAAAUUCCUUGUCGGGUAAGUUCCGACCUGCACGAAUGGCGUAAUGAUGGCCAGGCUGUCUCCACCCGAGACUCAGUGAAAUUGAACUCGCUGUGAAGAUGCAGUGUACCCGCGGCAAGACGGAAAGACCCCGUGAACCUUUACUAUAGCUUGACACUGAACAUUGAGCCUUGAUGUGUAGGAUAGGUGGGAGGCUUUGAAGUGUGGACGCCAGUCUGCAUGGAGCCGACCUUGAAAUACCACCCUUUAAUGUUUGAUGUUCUAACGUUGACCCGUAAUCCGGGUUGCGGACAGUGUCUGGUGGGUAGUUUGACUGGGGCGGUCUCCUCCUAAAGAGUAACGGAGGAGCACGAAGGUUGGCUAAUCCUGGUCGGACAUCAGGAGGUUAGUGCAAUGGCAUAAGCCAGCUUGACUGCGAGCGUGACGGCGCGAGCAGGUGCGAAAGCAGGUCAUAGUGAUCCGGUGGUUCUGAAUGGAAGGGCCAUCGCUCAACGGAUAAAAGGUACUCCGGGGAUAACAGGCUGAUACCGCCCAAGAGUUCAUAUCGACGGCGGUGUUUGGCACCUCGAUGUCGGCUCAUCACAUCCUGGGGCUGAAGUAGGUCCCAAGGGUAUGGCUGUUCGCCAUUUAAAGUGGUACGCGAGCUGGGUUUAGAACGUCGUGAGACAGUUCGGUCCCUAUCUGCCGUGGGCGCUGGAGAACUGAGGGGGGCUGCUCCUAGUACGAGAGGACCGGAGUGGACGCAUCACUGGUGUUCGGGUUGUCAUGCCAAUGGCACUGCCCGGUAGCUAAAUGCGGAAGAGAUAAGUGCUGA